Long non-coding RNA from Homalodisca vitripennis (glassy-winged sharpshooter), 1040 nucleotides. RefSeq lists it as uncharacterized. The record is from RefSeq and is a predicted model, not a curated record. Lineage: Eukaryota; Metazoa; Arthropoda; Insecta; Hemiptera; Cicadellidae. The transcript has 2 exons.
GUAAAUUGCAAUACUUACAACACAAAAGGGUGUAGUUAAGUGACUCAGGUGUUAUGACUGAACACCACAAAGUAUAACUAUUUCAUCAGACAAGGUACUGAGCCGAUCAAGACAGUACAACAGUCUCACGUGGGAGUGGGGAAGAUGCUCGAUUGACUACUGCGUUCACCGCUGAUCUGACACGUGUGUUGUCAUCAUGGUGUGACAUAACUGGACAGCUAUCUUCUAGACAUUUCUAACAUAAUAGAACACCAAGUAACAAAUAUAACAGCUGAUACAACAAAAAUAAAACAGCUGAUAACACGAAAGCGAAUAUACUCGGGCAUGGAGAUUGUUCACAAAACUAGUGUUGCACAAUAUAUCUUGGUCGUGGUGGUUAAAGGGUUAAAAAAUCUGAUUUUUAUAUAUUCCAAUUUUCUCAAUGAAAACAAAUGAUUAGACCCAAUGCUUCAAUUGUACUUCUCAAGGUUCAUAUAUUUUAAGGUGACAACUUCCAAAAUUGUGUAGUAUUUUGAUAACAUUUCUAAAACAGAUUACAUGCAGAUUUCAAAAGAGGCAUUCACAGAUUUAGGCAAAUUUUUUCCCUGGAGUAUUUCGCAAGAUUAAUACAAAUUUACAAGUGUUAUAAGAUUGUCAAGUAAUUCCAAGCAAAAUUUAUGCACACUUAUUUUCCAAUAACUUUUCAGGUUUCAAGAUGAUGGCUGUUUAAAGUUAAAAGUUAUAGAAGUAUAAAAUUGAACCAUACUAAAUAGAUAUCUUUACAAACAUAAUUUGGGAUUAAUUGUAAUUAAAUUAAAUCCAUGUUUUUAUAACAAAAUUUAUAUAUAAGGUUGUAAAAGUUUUUGUCUAGUUAGAUUUCAAGAUUGUGGACUUUCUAAAUGUUUGAAAGGGUUACGAUUAUAUUAACAUGCCCAUCUAAACUAAUAAUGUAUUUUCAGUUUGACAUUUCGAGAUGACAGCCUUACAUGAAAUCCACCUUUCAUCUGACUGAACCAGAAGGGAUGUUUAGAAAUAAAAUUAAAAUGAAAAUUGAAAUGAAA